CAGGUCCCUUCCCACGGAGCUCCUCCUCAGCCUGGGCUCGUUUGGACCCCGGGCGCUGCCCUCGCAGGGGCUCCCCGGGCAAAGACUGUGCUCCGGGAACUGCUUCUCC
Long non-coding RNA from Dromaius novaehollandiae (emu), 109 nucleotides. RefSeq lists it as uncharacterized. The record is from RefSeq and is a predicted model, not a curated record. Lineage: Eukaryota; Metazoa; Chordata; Aves; Casuariiformes; Dromaiidae. The transcript has 2 exons.